Molecule: non-coding RNA, 77 nt
Organism: Pangasius djambal
Lineage: Eukaryota; Metazoa; Chordata; Actinopteri; Siluriformes; Pangasiidae
Source: the annotation of a GenBank genome assembly
UCCCUGGAGGACUAGUGGUUAGGCCACAGCGCUCUCAACCGCUGCGGCCUGGGUUCGAACCGACCCCAGCCACUGAU